GAGGGAGAGUCCCACAGAGGAAGAGGAGACGAGGAAGAGCCCACACUCAGGUGAGAGAGGGGACAGUCCCACAGAGGAAGAGGAGACGAGGAAGAGCCCACACUCAGGAGAGAGGGGAGAGUCCCACAGAGGAAGAGGAGACGAGGAAGAGCCCACACUCAGUCAGAGGAAAUACGUGUCUGAAUCUGUUUGGAGUCAAAGUGCGUCUGAAGGAGUGUGGUGAGGAAUGCAGUCGAGCAGAGCCGCUGAGCCGCUGUUUCCUGUUGGUCCAGUCACAGGACGAGACUCGGAGGAAAUGGCAGAAGGAAAAGCAAAGCCUCCAGAGGGCAGCACUGAGCCACAGCUCUAUGGGACGAAAUCCACAGCUUCAGUUCACAGUCGUCUGUCCAUGAAGAGUGACAUGUCUAAAGGCGACGACCUAAACUUCAGUCCUGAACCUGCUCCAGACUCACGGUAAGAAACAAACUUAAUGUGGAGUCAGUGGUGUGGUCUAACCUUUCUCCUGUUAGGGGCUGGUAUCAGACCUGAAACAUGGGGGAAGGUGUGUAAUUAGACCAUGGUCCAGGUUUCUGAAGCGUGGAGCACAGCCCUGUGACUGAAGCGCUUUAGUAUACAGUAUAUAUGUAUCAGUAUAUUCUCUCUUCUCUCAGGACUGUUCCAUUCACAGUGGGCUCAUUACAGCAGUUUAGUUCCUGUGUAAAAGGAUUUAAAUGCAAGUAAAGUUGUGAUGCGCUGAGGCAGAAUGUGAAGGAGAGGGAGC
This 760-nucleotide long non-coding RNA is filed under the name Neogobius melanostomus (round goby). Its description in RNAcentral is "lncRNA (ENSNMLG00000020600.1)". The record is from RNAcentral. Lineage: Eukaryota; Metazoa; Chordata; Actinopteri; Gobiiformes; Gobiidae.